RNA transcript from Mastomys coucha (southern multimammate mouse), 4342 nucleotides. It is a transcript of the gene named family with sequence similarity 184 member A, with no coding region annotated. The record is from RefSeq and is a predicted model, not a curated record. NCBI's taxonomy places the organism in Eukaryota, Metazoa, Chordata, Mammalia, Rodentia, Muridae. The transcript is spliced from 19 exons.
UAACGGCGCUCGGCGGCUCCCGCGUCCCCGGCCCCGCCUCCCGCCGCUGCAGCCCGCCCCGUCUCCGCCUCCCUCCGCAGCCCCGGCGGCGGCGGAGUCUCCGGGCCCGGUGGCCGCCGCUUGCGGGACGCUAGCCGCGACGUCGCCAAGCCGAGGCAGGGGGACGCGGCCGUCGCGGGCGAGCAGGGGGGUGCUGGCUGCGGGGUCUGGAGGGCACGGGCCGGCGGGGCGGCGAGCGGUCGCCCGGGCUGUCGCCUGUCCCGCGUCGUCGCUGCGCCGGCCUCGCCCCGCGCACGGGGACAGGUGCCCCGGCUGGGGUCUGCCGGGAAGAUGGCGACCCCGGGCAUGAGCUGGCAACAUUACUCUUACGGAGGCUCCUCGUCCGGGCCGGCCAAAUUCACGACCUCCCCGGCUGCCGCGCAGCUGGCUGGGCACAACAUGGACUACAGCCAGGACAUGCACCUGAAAAUGAGCAAGAAGAUCGCCCAGCUCACCAAGGUAAUAUAUGCUUUGAAUACUAAAAAUGAUGAGCACGAUUCUGCGAUCCAGGCCCUCAAAGAUGCCCAUGAAGAAGAAAUCCAGCAAAUCCUUGCAGAAACAAGAGAAAAAAUACUGCUAUACAAAAGCAAGGUGACCGAAGAGUUAGACCUUAAGAGAAAGAUUCAAGUUUUAGAAGCGUCUUUAGACAAUCACGUGAAAAUGAAGCAGGACGCUUUGACAGAGUUUGAAGCCUAUAAGCGCAGAGUUGAGGACAUGCAACUCUGUGCAGAGGCCCAGCAUGUUCAGCGCAUAGUAACCAUGUCCCGGGAGGUCGAAGAGAUCAGGAAGAAAUUCGAAGAAAGGUUGAGGAGCUUUGGGCAGCUCCAGGUUCAGUUUGAAAACAACAAACAGUCAGCCCUGGAAGAUUUGAGAACCGCUCACAGGCUCGAAGUCCAAGAGCUGUUGAAGUCACAGCAGGACCACAAUUCCUCCAUGAAUCUGGGGCAGGAGAAAGCGGAGGAGCUGCACAGGAUGGAGGUGGAGGCCUUGAACAACACCCUCAAAGAGCUGAGACUCGAGAAGAAACAGCUCAUCGAGGAGUACGAGGGCAAGCUGAGCAAAGCCCAAGUGUUUUAUGAGCGUGAGCUUGAUAAUUUGAAAAGGUCACAGCUCUUCACAGCUGAAAGCCUGCAGGCCAGCAGGGACAAGGAGGCCGAUCUUCGCAAAGAGUUCCAGGGGCAAGAAGCCAUUUUACGGAAGACCAUAGGAAAAUUGAGGACGGAGCUGCAGAUGGUGCAGGAUGAAGCCAGCAGCCUUCUCGACAAAUGCCAAAAGCUGCAGAUGGCUCUGGCCACAGCAGAGAACAAUGUACAGGUUCUUCAAAAAGAGCUUGACGAUGCCAAGGAAGGAGAAAUGGCCUUGUUGAGCAAGCACAAGGAAGUGGAGAGCGAGCUGGCAGCUGCCCGGGAGCGAUUGCAAGAGCAAGCUUCAGAUCUCGUCCUCAAAGCUAGUCAUAUUGGAAUGCUUCAGGCCACUCAGAUGACCCAGGAAGUUACAAUUAAAGAUUUAGAAUCAGAGAAAUCCAGAGCCAACGAGAGAGUAUGUCAGCUGGAAGAGGAAAGAGCUUUCCUGCAGAGCAGAACGCAGAGUCUGGAUGAAGAACAGAAGCAGCAGGUGCUGGAGCUGGAAAAGAAAGUAAACGAAACCAAGAGAACUCAGCAAGAAUAUUAUGAAAUGGAGCUUAAGACCCUGCAAAAUCGAUGGGAAGGAGAAGUGGCUCAGCUAAAGGAGGCUCACGGAAAGACUUUGGAAGAAUUAGCUCGGAAGCACCACCUGGCGAUUGAGGCUGUCCACAGCAGUGCAAGCAGAGAUAAGGUCAAGCUACAGACGGAAUUGGAGGAACAAUAUAAAAAGGAGAAACUGAGUCUGGAAGAAGAUAAAAAUCAGCUCCAACUAGAGCUGGAGAAUCUAAAGCAAGCACUGGGAGACAAGCUGAUGUCAGCCAAUCAGGAGAUUGGCCGCCUCCAGGAUCUGAUAAGGAAGAGUGAACAGGGCCUUGGCUCUGCCGAAGGACUCAUUGCUAGUCUUCAGGAUUCCCAGGAGAGGCUUCAGUGCGAGCUGGACCUGACAAAAGGCAGGCUAAAGGAGACCAAGGAUGCCCUAUUAAAUGUUGAGGCUGAGCUACAACAAGAACGGCAUGAGCAUGAGCGAACACUAGCCUCCAUGAAGGAAGAAGAGAAGCUGAAGGUGGACAGAAUGGCCCAUGACCUGGAGAUGAAGUGGACUGAAAACCUUAGACACGAGUGCUCCAAGCUUCGCCAGGAGUUGAGGCUUCAACACGAAGAAGAUAAAAAGUCUGCCAUGUCCCAACUGUUGCAGCUGAAAGAGAGAGAGAAAAAUGCUGCCAGGGAUUCCUGGCAGAAGAAGGUGGAAGACCUCUUAAACCAGAUCUCCCUGCUCAAACAGAACCUGGAGCUGCAGCUUUGCCAGUCACAGACGUCUCUGCAGCAGCUGCAAGCGCAGUUCACGCAAGAGCGCCAGCGACUCACACAGGAGCUGGAGGAGCUGGAGGAGCAGCACCAGCAGAGGCACAAGUCCCUCAAAGAAGCACACGUCCUCGCGUUCCAGACCAUGGAAGAAGAGAAAGAAAAGGAACAGAGGGCUCUGGAGUCUCACCUACAGCAGAAGCAUUCCGCAGAGCUGCAGUCACUGAAAGAUGCGCACCGAGAGUCCAUGGAGGGCUUCCGCCUGGAGAUGGAGCAGGAACUUCAGACGCUCCGGUUUGAAUUAGAAGACGAAGGGAAGGCUAUGCUUGCUUCCUUGCGUUCUGAACUAAACCAUCAACAUGCAGCUUCCAUUGAUUUAUUACGGCAUAGUCACCAUCAAGAACUGGCAGCAGCUAAAAUGGAGUUAGAGAGAAGCAUAGACAUCAGCCGGAGGCAGAGUAAGGAGCACAUGUGUAGGAUAAGCGAUCUGCAGGAGGAGCUGCGGCACCGGCAGCACCACAUCACAGACUUGGAUAAGGAGGUCCAGCACCUCCAUGAAAACAUAAAUACCCUAACGAAAGAACUGGAACAUAAAGGGAAAGAAAUUCUCAGAAUCCGGAGUGAAUCCAACCAGCAAAUGAGGUUGCAUGAACAAGAUUUAAACAAGAGACUUGAGAAAGAGCUGGAUGCCAUGACAGCAGACCACCUCAGAGAGAAAAAUAUCAUGCGGGCAGAUUUUAAUAAGACUAAUGAGCUACUCAAGGAAAUAAAUGCAGCUUUACAAGUGUCACUAGAAGAUAUGGAAGAGAAGUAUCUAAUGAGAGAAUCGAGGCCAGAAGAUGUACAGAUGAUUGCAGAAUUAAAAUCCCUGCUUACAGAACGAGACCAGGUCAUAAAGAAACUCAUUGAGGAUAAUAAAUUUUACCAGCUGGAAUUAGUCAAUCGAGAAACUAACUUCAACAAAAUAUUUAACACAAGUCCUACUGUUGGUGUUAUUAACCCAUUGGCUAAGCAAAAGAAGAAGAAUGAUAAGUCACCAGCAAACAGGUUUGUGAGUGUUCCCAAUCUAAGUGCUCUGGAAUCCAGUGGCGUGGGCAAUGGACAUCCUACCCGCCUGGAACCCAUUCCCAAUUCUCCAGCCCAUGAUGUUGAGUUCAACAGCAACAAGCCUCUUCCACAACCAUUGCCACCCAAAGAGCCCAAGACAUUUUUGAGGUAUCAGUAAGAUGCAUGUGCAUGAGCUCACGGAACUUGACCGCUGGACUUUCCAUAACACAUUGUUGCGUGCCUUGUAUUUCCCCCAAGACGUCCUCCUCAGAGUGAAGCCUCCCCGGUGGCUUCUCCAGAUCCCCAGCGCCAGGAGUGGUUUGCUCGGUACUUCACAUUCUGAAUGAAUUGUGCUGGCACAGCUCCCUGUGGACUGUUCCGAGAGCAUGGCCGCGUGUGAAUCAUUCUGUGGACAGGCCUCUCUGCAUAAAACACUGUGACUGAGCAAGUGUUUGUCUCUCUGAUUUGAAAAUGCACUGUAUUUCUUGUGAUAUCUAUUGGAAUCACUCUCUGAGGUACUAUAUUAUGUGUGUAAUUAUAACAGCUAUUUUUAAUUUAGAUGGAAGUCUUAAUCUUUGUAAUUACUGCAUAAUAAAUUUUGUUAGAACAAAUGUUUUUCGUGGUUGUUUUCUAUCAGGUAUGCUUUAAACACUUUUUUAAUACCAGGUAUAAGACUUGUCAAUAAGUUUUACUGCACUAAUGAUCAUAAAUUGUUACUUUAAUAGUGUUAAUAUCAAUAUAGGGAAAUUUAUUAUUAUCUUCCAUUGUUGUGUAUAAUUUUAACUAAAUUGUUAACAUUUAUAAAUCCAGAAUAAAGGAAUUUAUGUAAA